UCAUGGCGGACGGGUGAGUAACGCGUAAAGAACUUGCCGUAUGGAUGGGGAUAACCGAUGGAAACGACGGAUAAGACCGAAUAUAAUGAAUGGUAGGCAUCUACUAUUUAUGAAAUAAUAAAUUGCCAUACGAGAGCUUUGCGUCCUAUUAGUUAGUUGGUGAGGUAAUGGCUCACCAAGACGAUGAUAGGUAGCCGGCCUGAGAGGGUGGACGGCCACAAGGGGACUGAGAUACGGCCCUU
Molecule: ribosomal RNA, 242 nt
Filed under: uncultured bacterium
Lineage: Bacteria
Description: partial 16S ribosomal RNA
Rfam family: Bacterial small subunit ribosomal RNA
Source: RNAcentral